CCUACGGGUGGCAGCAGUGAGGAAUAUUGGUCAAUGGACGAGAGUCUGAACCAGCCAAGUAGCGUGAAGGAUGACUGCCCUAUGGGUUGUAAACUUCUUUUAUCAAGGAAUAAAACGAGGCACGUGUGCCUUUUUGUAUGUACUUUAUGAAUAAGGAUCGGCUAACUCCGUGCCAGCAGCCGCGGUAAUACGGAGGAUCCGAGCGUUAUCCGGAUUUAUUGGGUUUAAAGGGAGCGUAGAUGGGUUGUUAAGUCAGUGGUGAAAGUUUGCGGCUCAACCGUAAAAUUGCAAUUGAUACUGGCAGUCUUGAGUACAGUUGAGGUAGGCGGAAUUCGUGGUGUAGCGGUGAAAUGCUUAGAUAUCACGAAGAACCCCGAUUGCGAAGGCAGCUUACUAAACUGUGACUGACAUUGAUGCUCGAAAGUGUGGGUAUCAAACAGGAUUAGAUACCCUGGUAGUC
RNAcentral lists this ribosomal RNA (460 nucleotides) under uncultured bacterium. Its description in RNAcentral is "partial 16S ribosomal RNA". It matches the Rfam family "Bacterial small subunit ribosomal RNA", at positions 338 to 795 of the family's 1533-position model. The record is from RNAcentral.